Long non-coding RNA from Hibiscus syriacus, 487 nucleotides. RefSeq lists it as uncharacterized. The record is from RefSeq and is a predicted model, not a curated record. NCBI's taxonomy places the organism in Eukaryota, Viridiplantae, Streptophyta, Magnoliopsida, Malvales, Malvaceae. The transcript is spliced from 3 exons.
UCAUCUUUUGAAUUUAGGGUAAAAAAAGGGCUGGCUAGGUUAACUGGUGAAUAACUUUGUACUGUAGAUUUCGGAAGCUUUAUUUUGCUGGUGAAGUUGUGCGUUUACUAGUGAAAAAUAUGUUAAUCUUUGGAGUAUUCGUUUUUUUUGGGUGAAAUUUGUCAGUUUCAGUCAGAAAGCUCAACAGACAAUAUCCGUCUUCCAUAAACGUGACGACUGAUCAAAGUGGGAUUUGAGUUUAGUGGUGGAUAAGGAUCUCAGAGGAAUGUCUGACUUUAUGUAUGAGAGUCAUUACCUUCUAGUGCAAUGGUAAAAAAUCUUUGGGGUUGAAGUGUGCAAGAGCAUGAGCAUAGACACAGGCACAAGAUGACUGCUUUUUUUUUAAGUACUUUGUAAUGGUAUCGACACUUUUUGACACUUUUUGAUGUGUGAAUGCGACAUUUUUUUGACAAGGUAUCGACAUUUUUUUCUUUUCUAGACAUAAAGU